This 862-nucleotide ribosomal RNA is filed under the name uncultured bacterium. RNAcentral's name for it is "bacterial SSU rRNA". It matches the Rfam family "Bacterial small subunit ribosomal RNA", at positions 9 to 873 of the family's 1533-position model. The record is from RNAcentral.
GAGUUUGAUCAUGGCUCAGGACGAACGCUGGCGGCGUGCUUAACACAUGCAAGUCGAACGAUGAAGCUCCUGCUUGCAGGGGUGGAUUAGUGGCGAACGGGUGAGUAACACGUGAGUAACCUGCCCCUGACUGUGGGAUAAGCCCGGGAAACUGGGUCUAAUACCGCAUAUGACACCUGGCCGCAUGGUCUGGGUGUGGAAAGUUUUUCGGUUGGGGAUGGGCUCGCGGCCUAUCAGCUUGUUGGUGGGGUAACGGCCUACCAAGGCGACGACGGGUAGCCGGCCUGAGAGGGCGACCGGCCACACUGGGACUGAGACACGGCCCAGACUCCUACGGGAGGCAGCAGUGGGGAAUAUUGCACAAUGGGGGAAACCCUGAUGCAGCGACGCCGCGUGAGGGAUGACGGCCUUCGGGUUGUAAACCUCUUUCAGUAGGGAAGAAGCCUUCGGGUGACGGUACCUGCAGAAGAAGUACCGGCUAACUACGUGCCAGCAGCCGCGGUAAUACGUAGGGUACAAGCGUUGUCCGGAAUUAUUGGGCGUAAAGAGCUCGUAGGCGGUUCGUCGCGUCUGCUGUGGAAACGCAAGGCUCAACCUUGCGCGUGCAGUGGGUACGGGCGGACUAGAGUGCAGUAGGGGAGUCUGGAAUUCCUGGUGUAGCGGUGAAAUGCGCAGAUAUCAGGAGGAACACCGGUGGCGAAGGCGGGACUCUGGGCUGUAACUGACGCUGAGGAGCGAAAGCAUGGGGAGCGAACAGGAUUAGAUACCCUGGUAGUCCAUGCCCGUAAACGUUGGGCACUAGGUGUGGGGCUCAUUCACGAGUUCCGCGCCGCAGCUAACGCAUUAAGUGCCCCGCCUGGGG